GACGAACGCUGGCGGCGUGCCUAAUACAUGCAAGUCGAGCGGACUUACAAAGCUUGCUUUUUAAGUUAGCGGCGGACGGGUGAGUAACACGUGGGCAACCUGCCUGUAAGACUGGGAUAACUUCGGGAAACCGGAGCUAAUACCGGAUAAUCCUUUUCUACUCAUGUAGAAAAGCUGAAAGACUGUUUACGCUGUCACUUACAGAUGGGCCCGCGGCGCAUUAGCUAGUUGGUGAGGUAACGGCUCACCAAGGCGACGAUGCGUAGCCGACCUGAGAGGGUGAUCGGCCACACUGGGACUGAGACACGGCACAGGCUCCUACGGGAGGCAGAAGUAGGGAAUCUUCCGCAAUGGACGAAAGUCUGACGGAGCAGCGCCGCGUGAGUGAUGAAGGUUUUCGGAUCGUAAAACUCUGUUGUUAGGGAAGAACAAGUACGCGAGUAACUGCUCGUAUCUUGACGGUACCUAGACAGAAAGCCACGGCUAACUACGUG
Molecule: ribosomal RNA, 494 nt
Filed under: uncultured bacterium
Lineage: Bacteria
Description: partial 16S ribosomal RNA
Rfam family: Bacterial small subunit ribosomal RNA
Source: RNAcentral